Long non-coding RNA from Nematostella vectensis (starlet sea anemone), 1071 nucleotides. RefSeq lists it as uncharacterized. The transcript is spliced from 3 exons. The record is from RefSeq and is a predicted model, not a curated record. NCBI's taxonomy places the organism in Eukaryota, Metazoa, Cnidaria, Anthozoa, Actiniaria, Edwardsiidae.
UUUCCUCUGGCUUCACCCUAUUCAGGCAUAGUUCACCAUCUUUCGGGUCCCAACAGAUGCGCUCUUACUCAAACCUUUCUAAGAGUAGAAUAGGUCGGUCAAUGAUGCGCCUUCUUUUUUUGGAAAAAGGCUCUCACCUCAGCGACCGAAGUCGCCUUCACUUUCAUUACGCCUCGGAGUUUCGGUCACUCAAAGACUCGCACACAUGUUAGACUCCUUGGUCCGUGUUUCAAGACGGGUCGGAUGAGGCCAUAUGACCGCCAACGUCGUGGGUGCAUAGUACGAAAUCACCGCCCUCGCGACCGGCAGCAGUCGCGGCGCACUGCACGCAGUCCACCGCAUUCGACGACCGACCGGGAAGACGGGACCCUAGCCGAACGGCAUGCACCGCAAGCUCCUCGGUCAGGUCCGGGCCAUGACAAACGGAGGACUGUAACAGUUCGGGCCCGAGAGUCCAAACCUACCUUUCCACCGCCUUUGAGACCCAGCCCUAACCGACGUUGGCGCGCGCCUGCGAGAAGUGCGACGGUCGGGAAACCAACCCGAACGGCAGCGGUCCAUUCAGAUCCGCCAACCGCCCGCCUGGCCCACCCACCGGCUGAAUCUCGCACGACGCAUUGCUAACCCCAUUCGUUUCCCUUUUAACGGUUUCACGUACUUUUUAACUCUCUUUUCAAAGUGCUUUUCAUCUUUCCCUCACGGUACUUGUUCGCUAUCGGUCUCGUGCCAAUAUUUAGCUUUAGAUGGAGUUUACCACCCAUUUUGGGCUGCAUUCCCAAACAACCCGACUCGUCGAAAGCACAUCGUGAACGGCCGAGAUCGCCGCAGACGGGGUUGUCACCCUCUACGACGUGCUGUUCCAAGCAACUUGGACGACCUCGGAUCCGCCGAGAAAGUGCUUCUCGAAACUACAAUUCGCCGUUGCAAGCAACGGAGAUUUUCAAUUUGAGCUGUUCCCGCUUCAUUCGCCAUUACUAGGGGAAUCCUUGUUAGUUUCUUUUCCUCCGCUUAUUAAUAUGCUUAAAUUCAGCGGGUUGCCUUGCCUGAUCUGAGGUCAACCCUGUGGUGCUU